CCAAACCAAACAAGAAAACCAAAUCUAAAUCGAAAGAGAGAGAAAUACUGAGAGAGAAAGAAAUCUCUCUUCUUUCUUUUUUUCUUUUUCCAGAUUCUCCCCAUUUAUAACUCAUGGCGGCAUCUGUUGAAAAUAGGCAGUUCAGUCACCUUGAACCGGGUUUAUCUGGCGUUUCCCGGUCUUUCAAGCCCCGGUCUGAUUCCCCGAUUCGUGGUUGCAACUUCCCGCCGUCCAAUCACGAACUCCCAUUCCAAAAGCAACCGAAUAUGCCCAUGUACUACUCGUCGAGUGAAGAUGAGGAUGAUGACGACGACAAAAAUGAAUACCUUCAAAUGAUCAAAAAAGGUAAAACUGAAUUAGAACCAUCUGUUCAUGACACAAGAGACGAAGGAACCGCUGAUAAUUGGAUUGAAAGAAACUUUUCUUUAAUUCGUCUUACUGGCAAACACCCAUUUAACUCUGAACCGCCUUUGGCUCGGCUCAUGCACCACGGUUUUAUUACCCCGGUCCCACUUCAUUAUGUUCGCAACCACGGUCCGGUUCCCAAGGCCUCAUGGGCUGACUGGAGUGUGGAAGUCACGGGACUAGUGAAACGCCCAAUGAAGUUCACAAUGGACCAGUUGGUUAACGAUUUUCCCUUGAGAGAAUUCCCCGUUACGCUUGUAUGUGCUGGCAAUAGAAGGAAAGAACAGAAUAUGGUUAAGCAAACUAUCGGUUUCAACUGGGGUGCCGCUGCCAUUUCAACUACUGUAUGGGGCGGGGUACCCCUCCGCGUCUUGUUGAAACGAUGUGGUGUUUACACCAAGAAAAAAGGGGCGCUUAACGUUUGUUUCGAAGGUUCUGAUGUGUUGCCUGGAGGUGGUGGUUCAAAGUACGGUACAAGCAUUAAGAAAGAAUUCGCUAUGGAUCCAGCGAGAGAUAUUAUCGUGGCUUUCAUGCAGAAUGGAGAAAUGUUGACGCCGGACCACGGGUUUCCUGUAAGGAUGAUAAUUCCAGGAUUCAUUGGUGGAAGAAUGGUGAAAUGGCUCAAGAGAAUUGUUGUUACUACACAAGAAUCAGAUAGCUAUUAUCAUUACAAAGAUAAUAGAGUUCUCCCUCCUCAUGUUGACGCUGAACUUGCAAACGCUGAAGGUAUAUAGUAAUUAUUUACUCUAAAAGAGGAUUUAAAUGGCAGUUAUUUAAAUAAAUUAUUCAUACAUAUUAAAUAAAUUAGAGUAGUCUAAAGACAAAAUAGAAAGUUGUCAGCUUUUAUAGUUGAAGUGUUUGUAUAAAAUUCAUGUUAACUUGUAUAUAUAUAUAUAUAUAUAUAUAUAUAUAUAUAUAUUUUUUUAUAUUGAUAGUGACCUACACGCGCUGCCACAUCAUGCCACAUCAUUUUUUUAAUAUAAUAAAUUGAUUACUUUUCCUUUUCUCUUUAAUUCUUUCCUCCCUCUCCUUCCUUCCCCUGCACAGCUAAGCAGCUUCAAUGGCCGCACAAAAAAAUUUCAGUUUCUUCCUCAUUUUCUUUGUUUUAAUGCAAUAUCUUUCUUCUUCAGGUAGUUUUCUUUUUCUGUUACUUUCACUGAUUAAGACGCGAAUCAACUUUUUUCUUAUAUCAAAUAUAUACUUUACCGCUUUCCGAAAAAGAAAAAAAAUCUGCCUUCUUUCACUACUGUUUUUUGCCGGAAUGGCUUUACAGUCGUCGGUGAAACUUUUUCGACCACCGAAUCAGUCCUAUCAUGAGCACAUCAAUGAUGCACACCAACAUCAAAAGGAAUUAAUUGUAGAAUCACCUCAUAACUCUCCGAAAUUCAAAAAUAUUAAAACGCUCAGUGGGGAAGUUUCGGAUGAGAAGAUGGGAUUUGGUGCACAAUUUCUGGCAAGAAACACCGCUGGACAGUGACGGCGUCGACAAAAUUUAAAAUUCCGACGACUUUAUUUUUUUCGAUGAAUUCAGCAUUCUUAACGUCAAUCAAUUUCUGGGAAGCUAAGGAAUGAUUCUAACCCAGAAAUUGAUUCGAAUUUCCCAAUCUGAAUUGAUUCAACAUUCUCAACGUCAAUUUGAAAUUGGGUUAAUUGAUUGACUUUGAGAAUGCAAAAAUUAACCCAGAAAAAAUCUACUUACAUAUCAGUGAACAUCGUUGAUUCGUAAAAGAAAAUUUGAAAUUCCCAAUCUGAAUUGAUUCAAUAAGGUAAUAAUAUGGUAAAGAUUUUAAAAAUUAACAAAGAGAAAAUUAAGCGAUGAAAGAAGGAAAAAUCAUGUAAAAAAAAUAAAACUUUUUCACUACACCUUCCAUGCCACCUCAGCAUUUAGGGAGGAAAAUAUUUCAAUUUAAAAAUGUUUAGGGGGGUCAUAGGACCCCUAUAAAGUAUAAGUGUGUAGUUGGAAUUUAGGGUAAAGGUUGGGGAGGUAUUUGGCCAUUUUCUCUGCAUUAUAAUAAGGCAUGAAUGUUAAAGUAUUUAAAAGGCAUGAUAGAAAAUUGAUUGCUUCUCAAAUAUUUUGCAGUGUUGCUUAAAUUGGGAUAACUAUUUGAAAAUAAUAUAAAAAAAUACUAUAAAUAAUAAUAAUAAUUAACAACUUAAAAUCCAAAAUGAGGAGCUUAGGGUCGUUUUUUUUUUAAAUGACAACUAAGCUCCUCAAAGUUUCAUUUAUUAUUAUUUGAAGAUUUUUAUAGAAUUACUUAUAUUUAUUUAAAAUUUUUGUAAAAAAAAUUAUACAUUAUAACAAUUAAUGUUAAAAUAUUUAAAAGGCAUGAUAAAAAAUUGAUUGCUUCUCAAAUUUUUUGCAAUGUUGCUUAAAUUGGGAUAACUAUUUGAAAAUGAUAUAAAAAAUACUAUAGAUAAUAAUAAUUAACAACUUAAAAUAUUUAAAAGAUAUAUAAAAUUAAGAAUGAGAGGAGCUUUGAAUCAACUUUAAAAAGUGAUAAAUAAGUUCCUUAAAUUCCCACUUAUAUUUUUGUGAUGAGCUUAGAGUCAGUUUGGAAAAUGAAUGAGAGUGAAUGAUGAGCUUAGGGUCAUUUUUAAAAAUGACAACUAAGCUUCUCAAAGUUUCAUUUAUUAUUAUUUGAGGAUUUUUUUAAAACUAUUUAUAUUUAUUUUAAAUUUACGUAAAACAUACUAUACACAAUACUUAAUUUAAAAAUAUUUAAAAGGCAUGGUAAAAAAAUUGAUUGCUUCUCAAAAUUUUUGCGAUGUUGCAUAAAUUGGUAUAAUUAUUUGAAUGAUGUUAAAAAUAUUAUGAAUAAUAAUAAUUAACAACUUACAAUAUUUAAAUGACAUUACUUUACUCUAUAUAAUAAGAGUGAAUAGGAGAGGAAGUGUGCAGCUUCCGGUCGUCCUGCUUGUCGACCGUUUAGCUGCUUGCUCCAUAAUUUUACUAUAUCGCCCCUAAUUAAUUAUUGUAUGUCUUCUACAUAUUAGAAAAUUAAUAAUAUUUAAUAAAAAAAGUAAAAUAGACAUUUAUGACAUGUUUGCUUCAGUUGCUUCAACCAUAAUUUAAUUAUAUCACCCAUAAUCAAUUAUUAUGAGUCAUCUAAGUAUUAAAAAUUUAAUAUUAAAAAAUUAAUUUUCAAAAAUUAUUAUAGAAUCAUUUAAGUAUUAAAAAAUUAAUAAUAUUUAAUGUUGAAUUAACUUGACGUCAAAUAUGAGGUACCCUUAAUUUUUUUUCCACAAGUAAUUUUUUAUAAUAAUUUUGUUAUAUCACUUCUAAUUAGUUAUUAUAAAUCAUUUAAGACGUCUAAUUUGCUGCUUCAAUCAUGAUUUUACUAUAUCAUCCCUAAUUAAUUAUUAUGACCAUCUAAAAAUUGUGCCACUUAAAUUGGAAUAGAAUUAAAAUAUUAUAAAUCACAAUAAUUAAAAAAUUAAAUUAUUUAAGAAAUAUGAUUGACAAUCAAUGCCAACAAAGUUUGGACAAAGAGAAUAACAUAUAUUAUUUGAAUAUUAAUAAAAAGUAUUAUAAAUUGCAAUAGCUAACAACUUAAAAUAUCAAAAAAAAAAUUAAUCUGUCAUAUAUGUUUAAAAAAUACAUAAAAAAUACUAUACAUCACAUUAAUUGACAACUUAAAAAAUUUAAAGAUUAAUCUGUCUGUUAUGACACAACUUCAUUGGUCCUUUUCCUUGCCUUCUUUUUUUCAUCCAUUUUAAUUUGUUUGUCUUAUUUUUUUAAUUUGUUUUAUACUUCAAAAAGAUACAAAAAAAAAAAAUCAUGUAAAUCACAAUAAUUAAUAACUUAAAAAAUUUAAAAGAUAUAAAAUAUUUGACUGAAUCUCAAAAUUAUUCAUUGUCACUUCAUUUGUAAUAAAAGAAAAAGUAUUAUAAAUCACAGUAAUUAAAAAGUUAAACCAUUUUAAAACUAUAAUUGACUAUUAGUACCACAAAAUUUUGGACAAGGAAAGUAACAUAUAUUAUUUUAAAAUAACAUAAAAUAUAUUAUAAAUUAUAAUAUUUAACGACUUAAAAUAUCUAAAAAAAAAUCUGUUAUAUAUUCCUAAAAAAUAAGUAAAAGAUACUAUAGAUCACAAUAAUUAACAACUUAAAAAUUUAAAAGAUAUAAAAUAUUUGGUUGACUCUUUAAAUUAUAUCAGCGCCACUUAAAUUGAAAUAGUUAAAAAUGUAAUUGAAUAUCAACGUUACAAAAGUUUGGACGAGGAGAGUAACAUGUAUUGUUUGAAAAUUACAUAAAAAAGUAUUAUAAAUUACAAUAAUUAACAAGUUAAAAUAUCUAAAAAAAAUAAUUUGUUACAUAACAACUUAAUUUUUUUUAAAAUAUAAAAUAUUUGGUUGACACUCUAAAUUAUAUCUGUGACACUUAAAUUGGAAUUAAAAAAAGAUAUUAUAAAUCCCAAUAAUUGAAACUUAAAGUAUUCUAAAAAUAUAAUUAACUAUCGAUGCCACAAAAAUUUGAACAAGUAGAGUAACAUGUAUUAUUUACAAAUUACAUAAAAUGUAUCAUAAAUUACGAUAAUUAACAACUUAAAAUAUCUAAAGCAUAUUAAAAAUAUGUUUAAUUAUCUAAAUUUCAUUUAUAUCACAUAUGAAACUAAAAAAUAAAAUAUAUUGGGCCUGUGCUGGCAUGAGCCGCCACAUCUAAUACAUAGAAUAAGUAUAAAAGAAAUUAAAAUAGAAUGGAGAGACAAUUAUGAAUUUAAUAAUAAAUCAAGAUAAAAUAAGGAAAGAAAAUAAAAAAUCAUAAACAAUGGUAAAAUAUUUCUCUUGUGUUUUUUAAUAUUUUUAUCUUAAUUUAUUAAAUUUUAUUUAAUAUCUAUUCAUGUAUUUAAAAAAGUGAAAACUAUUGAUAUAUUAAACUCUUAAAUGUAUACGUACGUGAUUUGCCCAAUAAAUAAUUGAGGUGUCGAUUUUUUGGGUCGUAGAGAAAGUCCGGAAUUUCUAUAUAAGACCAGCACCCGCUCUCACAAACUUCGUUCCCAAACCAAACAAGAAAACCAAAUCUAAAUCGAAAGAGAGAGAAAUACUGAGAGAGAAAGAAAUCUCUCUUCUUUCUUUUUUUCUUUUUCCAGAUUCUCCCCAUUUAUAACUCAUGGCGGCAUCUGUUGAAAAUAGGCAGUUCAGUCACCUUGAACCGGGUUUAUCUGGCGUUUCCCGGUCUUUCAAGCCCCGGUCUGAUUCCCCGAUUCGUGGUUGCAACUUCCCGCCGUCCAAUCACGAACUCCCAUUCCAAAAGCAACCGAAUAUGCCCAUGUACUACUCGUCGAGUGAAGAUGAGGAUGAUGACGACGACAAAAAUGAAUACCUUCAAAUGAUCAAAAAAGGUAAAACUGAAUUAGAACCAUCUGUUCAUGACACAAGAGACGAAGGAACCGCUGAUAAUUGGAUUGAAAGAAACUUUUCUUUAAUUCGUCUUACUGGCAAACACCCAUUUAACUCUGAACCGCCUUUGGCUCGGCUCAUGCACCACGGUUUUAUUACCCCGGUCCCACUUCAUUAUGUUCGCAACCACGGUCCGGUUCCCAAGGCCUCAUGGGCUGACUGGAGUGUGGAAGUCACGGGACUAGUGAAACGCCCAAUGAAGUUCACAAUGGACCAGUUGGUUAACGAUUUUCCCUUGAGAGAAUUCCCCGUUACGCUUGUAUGUGCUGGCAAUAGAAGGAAAGAACAGAAUAUGGUUAAGCAAACUAUCGGUUUCAACUGGGGUGCCGCUGCCAUUUCAACUACUGUAUGGGGCGGGGUACCCCUCCGCGUCUUGUUGAAACGAUGUGGUGUUUACACCAAGAAAAAAGGGGCGCUUAACGUUUGUUUCGAAGGUUCUGAUGUGUUGCCUGGAGGUGGUGGUUCAAAGUACGGUACAAGCAUUAAGAAAGAAUUCGCUAUGGAUCCAGCGAGAGAUAUUAUCGUGGCUUUCAUGCAGAAUGGAGAAAUGUUGACGCCGGACCACGGGUUUCCUGUAAGGAUGAUAAUUCCAGGAUUCAUUGGUGGAAGAAUGGUGAAAUGGCUCAAGAGAAUUGUUGUUACUACACAAGAAUCAGAUAGCUAUUAUCAUUACAAAGAUAAUAGAGUUCUCCCUCCUCAUGUUGACGCUGAACUUGCAAACGCUGAAGGUAUAUAGUAAUUAUUUACUCUAAAAGAGGAUUUAAAUGGCAGUUAUUUAAAUAAAUUAUUCAUACAUAUUAAAUAAAUUAGAGUAGUCUAAAGACAAAAUAGAAAGUUGUCAGCUUUUUUAUUUGAAGUGUUUGUAUAAAAUUCAUGUUAACUUGUAUAUAUAUAUAUGAUUUUAUACUGAAAGAAGUUUUGGUAACUUUGUUCAGCAUGGUGGUACAAGCCAGAAUACAUCAUCAAUGAGCUCAACAUAAACUCUGUAAUUACAACACCGUGCCAUGAAGAAAUUUUGCCAAUUAAUGCGUGGACUACCCAGCGACCUUACACGUUGAGGGGCUAUGCUUAUUCUGGUUAGUAGUUGUAUAUACCUAAAUUUUAUUUAUUUCUGAUUUGCUGAAUUUUCUUGGAGUUGUCGAAGUUCAUCGUAUCCCUCAACUCUGACAUUUUACUUCGUCCUUAUUUGCACUUCUGUUUUCGACUCAAUUCAACCUCAGCAUCUACCUCAUGAUACAUACAUACAUACAAAUAUGACAAUGAAUGGUUGAAGUCAUAUUCGAAAAUUGAAUUUGUUUCAAAAUAUUUUUUUACGGUUAAAAUUAUUACUCAGUAAUUGUCUUUUUACUUGCUUCUUAAAAUCGUAAAAGAUGAAUAAUAUGAAUAAAAGGUGAUAUAUCUUAGUUUCUUUUUAAGCAAGUUACAAAUUGUGAUCAAUAAUUGGUAGACAAAUUAUAGUAUAGUUAAAAUCGUAGGAAUACAACUAUUGGUGUAGGGAUAAGUUAAGGGAAAGUGGAUCAUGGAGCUUGGCCUGCUGUCAUCAGCUUGUUUGCUAAUGUGAAACAGAAUGGCAAGAAAAAGACAAUACAGUUGAUGUAUUUAACGGUUAUACACAAAAAAACGUGGGAAGCUUUCCUAGUUCUGAAGAGUCGGUCUUGGUAUUAAUAUAUAAAUUCAAUUUCUUUAAAAGACAGAAUCUUUUUGACUGCUUUAGUUCCUGUAUCCUGGGCUGCCUCAACAACCUUAUAAGUUGGAUUAUAAUAUUGUAUACUAUAUAUUGUGUUCAUAUGCAAUUAGAAAACUUUCAAGUGGUCACUUUAUAUGGAUCUAGUCAAUAUUAUUUUAAUAGCCUAGCACCCUUUUUUACUAAACUACGUGCCUACCUUCCAUUCCACUACAAAGCUGGUCAAUUAGUUAUUGCAAUUUUGAUUCAAAUUCAAGUUUAACCCUUCAGUGAGCAAAGUGUUGCAUAGAAAAACUAACGUGUGCUAUAGUUAACUUAAUUGUAAUUAAUUAGCCAUUGUAUUGAUUGAAAUGGUAAUUGUGUAACAGGUGGAGGUAAAAAGGUAACUCGAGUAGAAGUGACCUUGGAUGGAGGAGAGACAUGGAGUGUGUGCACACUAGAUCACCCAGAGAAGCCAACAAGGUAUGGCAAAUACUGGUGCUGGUGCUUUUGGUCACUCGAGGUUGAGGUGCUCGACUUGCUUAGUGCCAAGGAAAUUGCUGUACGAGCUAUCGAUGAAACCCUCAAUACUCAACCCGAGAAGCUUAUUUGGAACGUUAUGGUAAAUUCACAUCUCCUUUAGGUUAUCUUUUUACAAGUUCUAUGUAUUAAUGGCGUAAAGUUAUUCUACAAUUAAAAAUAACUUGAAACGAGGUCAAGAAAGAGGGGGUUGGGUAAGAAAGGAGUAUGUAAUUAAUCCUUACGGAAAAAUAAUUUUUGGUCCUUCCGACUUUUUUAUGAUUACUUUUCAAUAUACAAGAUUCACAGAGCACAUGAUUUCACAUGCCAAAACAAAAAACUAGGAACAAAAUUUUUUUCAUUGGUUAUAGUUUUAGAUUCUUUUUUGGAGGCGUGUGGUCCAUAGAUCAAUUCAAGCCAAAGACGUAUAGAAACCUGAAAAUUUCUACUCCCUCCAUUCCAUUUUACUCGUAUCAACUUUCUUAAUUUAUUUUACUCAUUUCAAAUUUUUUAAAUUUGAUUUCUCAUUUUACUUGUUAUUUUCAUUAAUCAAGAUAGGAUAAUUUUUUUUUAAUUUUUUACUCUUAAUAUUAAUUGUUUUAUCUCCAAAAUUAAAAUAUAAACAUCAUUUAAUAAGAAUUAGCCAUGUUAUAAAUUAUUUUUUUAAUUAAUAUAUAAUGUCAAAUAUAAACGAGUAAAAUGGGACGGAGGGAGUAUUAUAUAAGUAGAGGCGUUAUCACAUGAACCACAUGUGAAUGCCACUUGCUAGACCACUAAGCCAAUUCAUGUAGUUAUAUCAACAAAGCAGGGGAUUUUGAAUUAAAAGGGACAAACAAGUUGUCCAAUUAAGUGAGGGUUUUCAAAUUUUUAAAAGUAGGUGGGAGGGACAAAAUUUUUUUGAGUUUUUUUAAAGUAUUUUUCGUUCCAACAACUUCUCCCAGUUGUUGAACAACCUUGAUAUUUGUUCGAUAACUUUGCGAAGUUGUUCAACAACUAUCAAAGUUAUUCGACAACUGCGCUAGUUGUUGAGACAACUAAUGCAGUUGUCGAACAACUGUCCCAAUUGUUCAAAAGACUUAAUUUUUUUUAAAGGGGAUAAGUUGCGGGACUCAUUUGUCCCCCUUUUUUUAAUUGAAGACUUGGGAGGGUCUUUGAACUCAUUUUUCUCCCGAAACAGGAUCCCUUUUAUGACACUAGCUUAAGAUCUUUUAUAUGCUUUAAAAUUUGUAAUUAGAUAAGUGAAUUUAACUUAUAUAUGCCGACGGUGUUACUAAUUCCACCUUAUAUGGAUGGUUGAUUAUCUGUUAGGUGACAUGAUAGUGUAAACAUAUGUUUUACAUUUUUCUAAUUUUAUUAUGUGAUGUUGCAAUGUUCAGGGAAUGAUGAACAAUUGCUGGUUCCGAGUGAAGAUGAAUGUGUGCAAGCCUCACAAGGGAGAGAUUGGAAUAGUGUUCGAGCACCCGACCCAACCUGGAAACCAAUCGGGUGGAUGGAUGGCAAAGGAGAGGCACUUGGAGAUAUCAGCAGAGGCUCCUCCAGCACUAAAGAAAAGCAUUUCAACUCCAUUCAUGAACACAGCUUCAAAGAUGUAUUCCAUGUCCGAGGUCAGGAAGCACAACCAUUCUGACUCUGCUUGGAUCAUAGUCCAUGGCCAUAUCUACGAUGCCACACGUUUCUUGAAAGACCAUCCUGGUGGUGUUGACAGCAUCCUCAUCAAUGCUGGUACUGAUUGCACUGAGGAAUUUGAUGCAAUUCAUUCUGAUAAGGCCAAGAAGCUCUUGGAGGACUUUAGAAUUGGUGAACUCAUAACUACUGGUUACACCUCUGAUUCCUCUCCAAACAGUUCUGUCCAUGGAUCUUCUUCCAUCAGUAGCUUUCUAGCACCUAUUAAGGAGCUUGUUCAAACACCAACAAGGAGUGUGGCCCUUAUCCCAAGAGAGAAAAUCCCUUGUAAACUCGUCGACAAGCAAUCCAUCUCCCCUGAUGUUAGGAAAUUCCGUUUUGCAUUACCCUCUGAAGAUCAAGUCUUGGGCUUGCCUGUUGGCAAACACAUAUUCCUCUGUGCCACAAUUGAUGAUAAGCUCUGCAUGCGCGCGUACACGCCUACUAGCACGGUCGAUGAGGUGGGGUUCUUCGAAUUGGUUGUCAAAGUAUACUUCAAAGGGGUUCACCCUAAAUUCCCUCAUGGUGGGCAAAUGUCACAGUAUCUUGAUUCUCUCCCAAUAGGAGCAUUUCUCGACAUGAAAGGUCCAUUAGGUCACAUUGAAUACCAAGGAAAGGGUAAUUUCUUAAUCCAUGGCAAACAAAAGUUUGCCAAGAAGUUGGCAAUGAUAGCUGGUGGAACAGGGAUAACUCCAGUGUAUCAAGUGAUGCAGGCAAUCCUGAAAGAUCCAGAAGACGACACGGAAAUGUAUGUGGUGUAUGCUAACAGAACAGAGGAUGAUAUUUUACUCAAGGAUGAACUUGAUGCAUGGGCAGAGCAAAUACCAGAUAG
Molecule: long non-coding RNA, 10481 nt
Filed under: Capsicum annuum
Lineage: Eukaryota; Viridiplantae; Streptophyta; Magnoliopsida; Solanales; Solanaceae
Description: long non-coding RNA (CANN_LNC006922)
Source: RNAcentral